CCUACGGGUGGCUGCAGUGAGGAAUAUUGCGCAAUGGAGGCAACUCUGACGCAGCCAUGCCGCGUGCAGGAAGAAGGCGCUACGCGUUGUAAACUGCUUUUAACCGGGAAGAAACCCCAGGACGUGUCCUGGGUUGACGGUACCGGAGGAAUAAGCACCGGCUAACUUCGUGCCAGCCGCCGCGGUAAUACGAAGGGUGCAAGCGUUAUCCGGAUUCAUUGGGUUUAAGGGGGGCGGUGGUGGCGCGUUAGAAAGCCUACAGCUCAACUGUAGAAUUGCCAUUGAUACUGGCGCUCUUGAGUGCGCUUGAAGUAGGCGGAAUGUGCCGUGUAGCGGUGAAAUGCUUAGAUAUGGCACAGAACACCAAUUGCGAAGGCAGCUUACUAAGGCGAUACUGACACUGAGGCACGAAAGCGUGGGGAUCGAACAGGAUUAGAUACCCUGGUAGUC
Molecule: ribosomal RNA, 450 nt
Filed under: uncultured bacterium
Lineage: Bacteria
Description: partial 16S ribosomal RNA
Rfam family: Bacterial small subunit ribosomal RNA
Source: RNAcentral